This 253-nucleotide ribosomal RNA is filed under the name uncultured bacterium. RNAcentral describes it as "partial 16S ribosomal RNA". It matches the Rfam family "Bacterial small subunit ribosomal RNA", at positions 524 to 776 of the family's 1533-position model. The record is from RNAcentral.
UACAGAGGUUGCGAGCGUUGUUCGGAAUUAUUGGGCGUAAAGCGCGUGUAGGCGGGAUGGCAUGUCGAAUGUGAAAGCCCUCGGCUCAACCGAGGAAGUGCGUUCGAAACUACCGUUCUUGAGUAUCGGAGAGGGUGGCGGAAUUCCCGGCGUAGAGGUGAAAUUCGUAGAUAUCGGGAGGAACACCAGUGGCGAAGGCGGCCACCUGGACGAAUACUGACGCUGAGACGCGAAAGCGUGGGGAUCAAACAGG